UAUCAGCCCUGGGGUCAGCUACUAUCAGAAGUUGCAAUUCCAGAAAGCUGCCUGGAUCUGGUUAGUGAAGAUUCCAGGAACGAAGUGGCCAGCAACAGGAGUGGCUCCAGCAACAGCAGCAACAGCAGCAGCAGCAAUUUUUAGCACAGUCACCGGCCAGUAUUCCUGGACUGAUAUGCCACUGACAUUAGCCAGGUUUUUCAUGGUAACUUCAGGAGUUGCUCCCAGGUUCUCUUCAAAUUUCCGAUGCAGAUGCCAUCACUUUCCCUUUUAUUCCAUUUAGAAGUCAACCCACCUAACUGGAUUCCUGCUGCAAGGAAUUUGAGGACACCCUCCUCCUUCAUUUGCAGAACAUCAAGGGCUCCAGGGAGGGUGACGUUUCCCCUUCAACUUACAAUGGGAAUCCAGAACAAUGCCAUAUGGACUCCUUUCUGUUGAACGUUGAGUGAGCUUGGCUUCAAAGCAAGCAUGAUGAACAAGAAACAUGGCUAGUGGACAAGAGGAGGAAACGAGGACCAUAUGAGAGAGAGGAAAGAACAUGAGGGCAAAGUGGCUGUCUGCAAGUCAGGAAGAGACCUCUCAACAGAAACUGACUCUGCCAGAACUUAAUUUGGAACAUCUAUGCUCCAGAACUGUUGAGAAAAUAAAUUCCUGUUGUU
Molecule: long non-coding RNA, 659 nt
Organism: Herpailurus yagouaroundi (jaguarundi)
Lineage: Eukaryota; Metazoa; Chordata; Mammalia; Carnivora; Felidae
Exons: 3
Source: RefSeq, a predicted model, not a curated record